CCGCCCCCGCAGAUUAAAUGGGCCGGCGGGGCUCAGCCCCCGGAAACGGCCGUACACUUCGGGGCUGCGAGCGCGGAGGGCGGCGGCGACGAAGCGCAGACAGCGUCAUGGCAGAGCAGGUGGCCCUGAGCCGGACCCAGGUGUGCGGGAUCCUGCGGGAAGAGCUGUUCCAGGGCGAUGCCUUCCAUCAGUCGGAUACACACAUAUUCAUCAUCAUGGGUGCAUCGCUUUCGAGUAGGAUAUGGUGAUGGUGAAUGAGCCCGUAGUACAUCCGUGGAUGGUGGUGUUGGCGAAACCGCGGCAGUGGAGAGCAUGUAUAUACACAGAAAAAGCAUCUAUUCCAAAGAGAAAAACUUGCUGCCCCCUGCAGAAUGGAAGGGGUUUGAUAUGAUAUAAUCAUCUUUUCACCAGGUAGGUCUGAAUGUCUGUAACCCCAAAUUUCAUAUGUUGAAACCUAAUCACCGAUAUGAUGUUAUUGCAAGUGGAGCCUUGAAUGGUGAUUAGAUCAAGAGGGCAGAGACCUCAAGAAUGGGAUUAGUGUCCUCAUAAAAGAGACCCCUGAGAGGUUCCGUGUGCAAACACAGUUAGAAGGCACCAUCUAUGAACCAGAAUGUGGGCUGACACCAAACACCAAAUCUGCUGACUCCUUGAUCUUGAACCUUCCAGCCUCCAAAACGGUAAGAAAUAAAUUUCUGUUGUUUAUAAGCUACCCAGUCUAUGGUAUUGUGCUGUGGCAGCCUGAAUGGGCUAAGACAGACCCCUGUGGGAUGAGCCCAUAUAUGAGACCUCUGCUCUUGGGAGAUUGGCACUUGGUGAAGACCAUGUUGUUGAGCCCGUGAGUUAACUUCCAUUUCUGCCCUCAUGGCACAUUUAUGUAGCCCACUGAGCAAGAAUCGGAGUAACUGAGGAAGGAAAGUUAACUCACAUCCCCAGAGCAGGUCAUCACAUCCACGUGAGUAGUACGAAAGCACCUCGGGAACCGACACAAGGGAUGUGCAUUUCCUGGUAUUACUAGGCCCAAUCUGGGAAGUCCAUCCCACAUGCCUCCCUUCUCCAAGAUGCCUUGCUGUCAAUUCUUCCAUAUUGUUACUUCCAAGUCACCACCAUGAUGAACAAACUCUUAUAAACUUCCAUUGACUCAAAUAGAUCUAUGCUUUUAGCACCUUCCUUCUGGGCAGAAUGAACAGUAAGAUGCAAUUAUCAAGAUGUGUCCUCAGCAAUAAUUAUGAAGACUUGUUGAAUGUCCCAUGAGCGGUUCUUGAAGGGAAAUUUAAAGUUUUGAAGGCUUAGAAUAAACAAACAAUGACUGAAAAGAAUGACCUAAGCCUACAAGUCUAUACGUUAGAAAAAGAGCCGAGUACAAGGCAGGGACAGUAGUGCAAGAUAUCCCUUCCUGAUUGAUGGAUAAAACAAACGUUACAAGUGCAUAAUAUAGCGGCCAGGCAGGCGCGGUGGCUCAUGCCUGUAAUCUCAGCACAUUGGGAGGCCAAGGCGGGCCGGUCACGACGGUCAGGAGAUCGAGACCAUCCUGGCUAACACGGUGAAACCCCGUCUCUACUAGAAAUAAAAAAAAUUAGCGGGGCAUGAUGGUGGGUGCCUGUAGUCCCAGCUACUCAG
Molecule: long non-coding RNA, 1617 nt
Filed under: Macaca nemestrina (pig-tailed macaque)
Lineage: Eukaryota; Metazoa; Chordata; Mammalia; Primates; Cercopithecidae
Description: lncRNA (ENSMNEG00000045709.1)
Source: RNAcentral